UUUAGGAUAUCUAUAUAUAAUAUCAUGUCAUCUGCAAAUAGUAACAGUUUUAUUUCUUCCUUUCCAAUUUGAAUGCCUUUAAUUUAUUUUACUAGCCUAAUUCCUCUAGCUAGAACUUUCAAUACUAUGGUAAAUAAAGAUGGCAAAACUGGGCAACUUUGUCUUGUUCCUGAUCUUAGAGGAAAACUUCCUGAUUUUCACCAGUCAUUGGGCAUCUUAAGGGCUAUAACUCUGAACCCUUUAUCAGAACCCCAGGAUAAAUUUGAAGCACUUACUACAGAUGGAUGUGGUAGCAUUUGGACAGCAUGUGUACUGCAUUUGGAUGACAUGUGUACUUCCUUAAAUCUAGAUUGAGUGGUAUAUGACCUGUGCAAACUGAGGCACAUAAAAUUUUUUCAAGAGGUUAUUUGAAUA
Lutra lutra (Eurasian river otter) is the source of this 414-nucleotide long non-coding RNA. RefSeq lists it as uncharacterized. The transcript is spliced from 3 exons. The record is from RefSeq and is a predicted model, not a curated record. NCBI's taxonomy places the organism in Eukaryota, Metazoa, Chordata, Mammalia, Carnivora, Mustelidae.